This 24-nucleotide non-coding RNA is filed under the name Cricetulus griseus (Chinese hamster). Lineage: Eukaryota; Metazoa; Chordata; Mammalia; Rodentia; Cricetidae. The record is from RNAcentral.
AAAUAGAAUUCUCAUGUUGAAGGA